RNAcentral lists this long non-coding RNA (1411 nucleotides) under Homo sapiens (human). RNAcentral describes it as "HSALNT0284306". Lineage: Eukaryota; Metazoa; Chordata; Mammalia; Primates; Hominidae. The record is from RNAcentral.
CAGAAGAGUUUUAAUACUCAGAACUGUUUGAUAAUAACUUAUUGUGUGUUAAUUUAUACAUUGCCUUUAUUUAUCCCCAUUCAGUUAGAGUCUGAGUUGUUACAGAGAUAAUGAGUCAAAUGUCUGGUGCAUGGAGCUGUAACAAUGUGGAGGAGCAUAGGAUGAAACUUUGCCACAGGUGGGAAAUACUAACAUGCAGAAAAGGAGUCCUAAAAAUGACUCAAUAUGUGCUAAAUAAAUGACUUUUAAAUGUAGUAAGUGCCACUUCUGUACACAAUUAUUGGUAAAGAAUAAUUUUGGAGUCCAUUUUUAGAUACCUUGUCAGCUUUCAAAAAUAUCACCAUUUGAACACAGCAAGUGGUUUCUGAUUUUUAUUUCUUUAAUUUGCCAGAUUGUUUGUAUUCUUGUAAUUAUAACUAGCCUAAAUGGAUAGCUAUUGAGAGUGUAGUGUCUGUGCUGAAGAUGUUAAUGCAUUUAUGUUUUCUUUAUUGCUCUGGGAAAUAGUGGUAUUUCAUGUUAACAUUGUGAGUUCCUCUGUACCUCUUUAGCACACUAUUUAUUCCAUAAAUAACAUGACAAUAAAAAUAAAGUCGAGUGACCACCCGCUUUAAAUCUACAUUCAAAUCAAAUUUCGUCACUAAAUUAUUGACAUAAAUAAAUACACAUAAUUGGUUUUCAAAAUGUGGCUACCUCCUCAUUAUUCAGGACUUGAUUAUACAGGUCAUAAGUUACUGAUAUGGUUUGACUCUGUGUCCCCACCCAAAUCUCAUCUUGUAGUUCCCAUAAUUCCCACAUGUUGUUGGAGGAACCCGGUGGAAGGUGACUGAAUUAUGGGGGCGGGUCUUUCCUGCACUGUUCUCGUGAUAGUGAAUGGGUCUCACGAGAUUUGGUGGUGUUAAAAACGGGAGUUUCUCUGCACAAGCUCUCUCUUUGCCUGCCACCAACCACAUAAGAUAUGACUUGCCUCCCCAGCCACAUGGAACUGUGAGUACAAUUAAACCUCUUUCUUUUGUAAGUUGCCCAAUCUCGGUUAUGUCUUUGUCAGCAGUGUGAAAACAGACUAACACAGUUACUUAAGCUUGUUUCCUGCUUGUCAGCAUCACCACUAGAGUCAGGAUUCAGGAAGAGAGAAGAGGAAAAAAGCAUGACAACCAUGUUUGCAUCCAAUAAUCAGUUAUUCUACUGAUGUUAUGGGGAGGAAAUUGUAGUAUCUUGCUAAGAUAAAGAUUGUGGGUUAUUAGUAGAUUUAAUUAGUCCAUACUAAAGGCUGUUGUAAUUAGAACUGAGAACACAAAGUUGAAAUCACGUACAUUUAUAAACAUGUAUUAUAUCUGUAUAUUAGUCUAUGCUAUAUAUAAAUACGAAGAAAUAACUCUUCACAAUGGCUAUAAUAAAAAGUGUAGUUACUUCC